CUUCUAUGCCACAACUUGUCCCCACUAAGCUCUUGGAUGCAGACACUAAAGGUAAUUAUCUACUGCUCCAAUGCCCGGAGUUCCAGUUUUGCAUUUUUGUCUUUGUGGAAUUUUGCAGCAGUCCAGUUCUAUAUGAACUCCUUGGAGGUUUUGUCACCACUGUAAUAUCCUGGUGUUUCUAAGGGUGCCUGGCACAGGGUUGAUACUCUUAAAGGAGCUACUGAGGGAGGAAGCGAUUGAACUAAUUAAUGUAAAGGCAUGGGAACCAACAAGGAUGUUGAAGCGUGAGGUCUGUGGGUGUUUGUGAGUACCUUUGAGCAAUAUUGUUCAUUUUAGUCCCUUGAAAUUUUAGCUCUUAAGUCUGCCAUGUGAUAGGUUUAUAUGAAACUGGAGGAUUUCUGCUUCAUUCUUUGCCACAAAAGUGCAGUCCAUAUGACGAUAGUAUAGUUUGAAACAAAAGUACUUGCAUGCCUAUUUUCUAUUUUCAAUGUUGAUUUAGACUUUUUUCUUUCAGCAAGAGACAAAGGGCUUUUCAGAGAGGGUUCUAAAGCAGAGAUAUCUGUGUUUGAUAAAAAAUCAACUGACUUAACUGUGUCCAAAUGUGGGUGUUCAGAGAUUUUUGCCAGUGACGGUAUAUCCUUUUGAAAUAAAAAUUAGUGAGGAAAUCAUUUGGCAUUAAGAAAUCUUCCUUGGUCUGCAUCUCCCACUGGAAACCUCUGCUGUGAAUUAGGGAGGAGUGGCCCAUGGGCAGGCAGACCUGCCCUAUGUUUCUGACUCUGAAUCCAAUUGACUGUGUGACCUUGGGAAACUUCCUUAGUCCUUUUGAGCUUCAAUUUUCUCAGCUGUAAAAAUUAAGUGUUGGCUUAGUUACUUAAGGAAGUUCUAACAUUCUGCGAUUUUGAUUUUAUGUCUUAAAGAACGAAAAGUCCUUUGAAGCAGAAAAUGUGAAACUAAUGUCAUUAUUUACUUUAAAGAAAAAAAGGAAGUUAUGGAAAGAGAGGCCUUUACCGAAUAAAUGAAUCAGGACACUCCCCACCAAGCAAAGCAGGAAGUCAGAUUUUUUUUUCUCAUUUGGAAAUGAGAGAGAGAGAGAGAGAGAGAGAGAGAGAGAGAGAGAGAGAGAGAAUUAAAUAAAACAAAGCAAAAGAAAAAUGCCUGCAGUGUUUCUCCCUGUUUCUAAGGUCCUUUUCAGAAGGUAGGAGUGAGUGAUCAGUGAGUGCUUUGCUUUUUCUGGAAUUACACCCUUCCCCAAUUUUGUUUCCAACUUGGUGAUAAAAUAAGAUUUUGUUAUCUGUUAAAUAGCUCAUCUAUUCUAAAAUAAAUAUUCGUUUUGCAGAAGAAAAGAUGAGUAUUUGUAAUUUUCUGAGGGAGUUUGAAAAGCAGAAAUCUAGAUUUUGUAUGAUGAGGUGAAGAAGAAAUAAGACUGGGUACUGAUAGUCCUAUCAAGAAACUCACUUAUGAGUUUAAAAGGGAGGGAGAGAGAGAUAGGAAGGGAACAAGAUGUGGACUCAGGACCAAGAGUGAUGGGAUCAUUAAGAUUACCAGGAUGGAUGGAAGCAAGUCUGUAUGCUGGGAGGGAUGAACCAGUAAAGGCAGAGUUUAAAUACAAAUGGGAAAAUGAGGCUAAGGGACAUAAGAGGAUUCCUGGGAAGACAGACUUAGUAGCAGACUAAAGAUAGAGUGACUAGCCACUACUCUUGAUACAGGAAGUACCAGAUGGAUGCAGAUAGAGCCACAUGUACAGAUUGGCAUCAUGGUGUUGAGAGUUCACUGAGAGAUGGCAAAGUGGUAACGAGGUAGGGAUCUUGGAAACAUCAGUGAAAAUAUGAUGUUUAACAGAAGGGAAUAGAAGAGGAAGCCAGCAAUGCUCAGCAAGGGCCAUCCUUCCAGCCACCAAAACUCUAUGUGAACCCACAAUGUAAUUUCUUUCAAUAGCCUCUUCAUGCUGAGGCUCAGAGUUCCUUUCUUGGCCCUUCAUUUCUCCCAGCCAUGCUCUCUAUAACUCUGCACUAAGUGGCUCACUCUGGUGGCCUCUACAGACACUUAGCCACAAAGACUGAAUUUAUAGACCCAUCUUUCAGUUCCAGUGAUUCAGAUCCUAUUGUUCAACAGUUUAGAUCCACAUAAAUUUAUGUCUGACAUGUUUCUUCCUACACCUGGUAGAGUUUCUGAGUGUAUUGUAAUCUAAAAUUACUCUUUCCACAUGGGGCAAGAUGCAGUUUUAAAUUCAAUGCUCCCUAAGAUUUUCCUUUAAGGUUAUAACAUUAUAUGAGCCUCGAAUUCUGGGAAAUCAAUUGUUUUGCUUUGAAUAUUACAAGCCUUUUCCUUCUAUCUAUAAUUUAUUUUCAGAGCUCAGUAUGAGGUAAUCAUUCAUAUAACUCAGUGAAAAUUGGGAAACACUCACUGAUCUACCUACUGCAUAUAAUAAAAACCUAUUUCUCCCACCUUGGUUUAGCUUCCCUAUGACAUGGACUGUAGCAGGGAUUGGAAAUUGUUCCUUCCAAUAUUCCUAGUACUUAAAAAACAGUGCCUAAUAUACAGAUACAUUCAAUAUUAGAAGUGAAAUUAAUGAAUAGAUGAAUGAUAUAUCGAGUGAAAUAUGUCUAAUCACCUUUAUCUUUUCCAAUAAGUGCAUGCUCUCUCUUUUUAAAAUAUUUUAUUUCAGUUUGAUAAUUAAGUUUUAAAAUUGUUGGACUCUAUAUCUCUGCACCAAUGACUAAGGGAUUAUUCAAAAGAGAGAUAAAUGUUAAAUUGUAAAAGAGUAACCCAAAGUUCUAACAGAUGCCAUUUUUACUAGAAGUACUGGUUUUUCCAUGGGUUAUUCUUUCAGUGACAAGGGUGUGAACCAAAGAAACAUAAGCAUGAUCUUAAAAAGGGAUGAUAUUACAGGCUUAGUGGUGCAUGCCUGUAAUACCAGCUACUCAGGAGACUGAGGUAAAAGGAUCACAGGUUCAAAGCCAGCCUGAGCAACUUAGUGAGACCCUGUCUCAAAAUAAAAAGUAAAAAGGACUGGGGAUGUAACUGAGUGGUAGAGCAGCCCUGAGUUCAAACCCUGGUGUAACCCCCCCCCCCAAAAAAAAAAAAAAAGAAGAAGAACAUUAUCUCCCUUAAGUCCGUUGCAUAAUUGUUGUUAAUAAUAGUUGUGAAAAUACACAGAAAGGUGAAAUUCAUCUGGAAGUAAGUUCUUAGGCAUUUCAAGUAGAUUAAAGCAGAGAAAGGGGUAGGGACUACUCUAAAUUCUUGAAAAGAGUCAUGCUGACAGAAUGAAAGAUGGUUAAAGCCACCAAGAAGUCAGGAAAUGCAAACCCCAUCACCAAAAGAAUACUAUGAACAUUCAAAUGAUUUGUUUUUCUUUUGUGCAGCAAAACUCCUCAGAGAUAUCUUCCAAACCGAAACGCUCAAAACAUUACUCAGUGCAAAACAAAGGUAAAUCACCAUAAAACCAAUUAUUAUAAAGGGUGGGAAGAGAGAAUAUAAAAACAUAAUGCAAAGACAACUCAAUGGCAGCUAUUAAAAAAUCUACAUGAACCCACAAUAAAAAAUUAAAAAUAUAAAAAAAAAUAAAAAAAAAAAUCUACAUGAGAAGUGUAAGAGAGUAUCAGCCAGCUGUGGUGUCCAGGCCAAUGGACACUAUUCAGUGCUGAUACAGCAGUAUUGGGGAUUUGAUGCUCAGAGAGACUACCAAGUAGUAGUUUCAUCACAAAUUAUCCCCAUUUCCACAGUUAGACACAGGAUGUGUGUGUGUGUGUGUGUGUGUGUGUGUAGGCACAUGCACACAUGCAUGUAUAUAUCUGUGGUACUGAUCAUCCAAGCCAUGGGGUUGAGAAGUGGGUAGAUAACAUCAACAUGUAUCCUAAUGGGAGAAAUCACCCCAUUUGUGCCAGCUGCUGAGUAGCAGGAAUGGGACCAUGGGAUUGUGUCCAAGUGCUGGACAUAUACUGUUAAAAUGACCCAGGGGAGGGAGGAACCACACCUUUUGAGGAUUAGACAGGACUCUCCCCUCCACCUAUGAUACCCAUUGGUCCUACAUUCAUAUACUGGAGGUUCAUUAAAGCUAAGAUUCGUUAAAGCUGUUUUAUGCAUUUGUUUCUCAUCAAUAGAAUGAAAAACUAAGAGACUGCUAAGGCUCCUUCCAGUGAUGGCAUGCUGUGAUCUCAAUCUGUUAUGUUGUUUCCCAGCAAUAUCUGAAAAAGAUAAUACUUCACUUCUGAAAUGAGAGAUGCCUGACAAAUGCAAGCUUCAGUGAUGUCAGAAAUGCUCAUACAAACACAUCUAUAUCUUCCCCUAACAUCUUCCUAAAACUAAGAGAUUCCCAGCUUAUUUUCAUUUUGGUCUCACAUUUGAUUCCAACAUGGUAGCAAUAAUUUUUAUCCUGUUUUCCCCCUCAGGCAACAAUGCAAUUUCUCAUAAGGGAGAUUCCUCCAACAACAUCAUGCUUACUCAGUUCUUAUCAACUGAAGAAGGUCAGGAACCAUAAAAUCAAGGAAAAAAAGUUGGAGCAACUUGACAUUUGGAGUUCAAUGUCAGUGAAGAAAUUAUGGUCACUAGUGGCUUCAUCACUGCGUCCUUUAUCUUAAAUUAAAUGGAAAAAUUUAUUUUCAUGUGGUUUGAUUUUUUAAAAAUGCUACAUAGCUGCAGAAAAAUAGGUUUCUUUGGAAAUUGUGUUAGUUAUACCUUCCUGACUAUGAAAUAUGGUUUCCUUUUUCAUAAAAGUAAUACUAUUCAUGUAGUAUUUCUAAUCAUCUGAAUUGGAAUAUGAAAAUGUCCUGAAGUAGCCUUAGAUAAAUUGAUAAACUAUGCUCACUUUCUUGUCAAAAAGUCACUGGUGCCAAUUUCUAGAGAAAAAGCAUUUCUUCUCCAAAUUUUCCAGUUGAAUUUGAUGCUUGUUUUUGCUUCUUAGGUGCAGUCUCUUAAUGUUGAAAGUUAAUCAGACAUAAAAUAAAAACUUCCAUUUCAGAUAUUUUUGUAGUCAUUUAUCAGGAAGUAAAAGAAUGUGAUUUGAUAGGUGAUGUGGCAGUUGUCACUUUACAAUGCACUAUUGUGUGGUCUGCCACCAGCAAAGUGAAGUGUCCAAGCAGACCUAGUACAGAUAUAAGGAAAUGGGGACCCAGAAGUAAAUUGACUCACCAAAGAUUGUGAAGCUAAGAAAGGGCAACAGGGAAUGUACUUUGGAUUCCUCGUCCAUUUCUAUAGCCUCAGGACAACCUAGAAAAUUAUAUACAAUUCUAAGAAAUCUUUAUGAAGUUAAAUAUAUGAUUCAUCACUCCUAGAAUUCUGUGUAAGAGGGGAAUUGAUGGAAAGACUUUGUCCGCUUCCAAGGAGGUAUCUCCAAACAUCAUGAUUUUCUUUUACUGUAGGAGCUUUUUGGAAGUUAUUCACAUGUACGGUCAAUUCUGCUUUCGGAUGAGAUACAGAGUACAGGUGAAUAGAUGCUAGAAGCAGUGUUUCUCUUACAUAAUUCUGUCACUUGGGGUUCACCUGAGUUUCAGCCCUGACCACAGUGCACAGAAGAACUAAGCCCUCAGAUUCAUCCUUACUGUUUUGAGAGUUACAGAGUUUGAAAGUAUCUGUUAGCUCUUGACAUGAAAAACCUUCAUCAUUAUUAAAUAAAGAUAGCAUAGGGGAAUGUCUACUUAAGUAGACAGGCAUAGAGAAAAUUCACAAGCACCAAGAUGCAGCAGCAUACAUGAAAUACCAAAGUUUAAAGGAAACGACUGAGGACCAGUUGGUUAGGUGUUUCUAUAUCCCACGAAGGUAUAAAAGACUUCGAAGGAAAUUUUAUGAGAAACAUUUCCUUGGAGAGAACUGAUACAUAAGCCUUCUCACUCCACCUACCCCUAAAAUAAGAGAAGGAGGAAUGUGUGGCCCCUGACCUUAAAUAAAGUGAAAGGACUUCGCAGAUAGUGUUUUAUGUGACCACAACAAUUAGAAUGUAUGGGGUCCUGAUUAGGGGUUGGAUUCUUGCAUGGAACUAUGGCCAUGGCUUUGGUGGUAGAGCCCGUUUAGGACUUUGUGUUGGGACUAGUCUGUAUGCCCAAUGUGUGUGAGGGCAAAGGAUAUGUGUGAUUUCCCAUGGGCCAUGGUGAGAUAUAUAAGAGAGCCAACGUGGGUUUGUGUUGGGUUCUCUGAUACGGUCAUCCAAAGAGGUAAAGGAAUCCCAGAAUCAAGAAUUUACAGAUGAAACUUUAGGAUAAGGAACAAGUCACAAGGGACUGCCAAUGACAUAGAAGAAUCUGUACAGGCUACAGAAAACACAAGUGAGAAUUUAGGGUCAAGGGGAUUUUUUUUUUUUCUAAAGACUUCUGGGAUUUUUCUUCUUUCAUUAUUUUGAGUUAUUGUCCAGAGAGCCUGAAGGUGAACUUGUCUCAUAAAAUACCUCUCUUCCCUGUGGCUUUGGGCACAGGAGGUUUUCCUCAGUGUCCAUGGGGUGGAAGAAGAAUGAGAAAAAUUAAACAACUUCAACCAGCAAGAGAAGAUGUGUUAGUGCACAUAGAAGUCCAAAGUGGGACUUGGAGAACAAGAAGAAUUUAAUGCUAACUUGUUUGUAGUUUCUUGUUAUUGCAUGAUACUGGGAAUCAGUAUUUAAAUUAAUAUCAAAUAUUUAAAUUAAUCAAGACAUUGCUAUUACCCGAAUGUAUUGGCAUAUAACAGUAUAUCAAUGGGAGGGAAAGUGUCUCUCACUUAAUAAAUUUUAUAAGAAUAAUCUGAAACAAAAAAAUGUUUCAUCACAUACCAUGUGUGUCUAAACCAUUGGUUAUACACAUGUGCCUAAAAAUUCUUUUAAAACAGCAAUAAAAGGAUAAAAAAG
Molecule: long non-coding RNA, 6808 nt
Filed under: Marmota monax (woodchuck)
Lineage: Eukaryota; Metazoa; Chordata; Mammalia; Rodentia; Sciuridae
Source: RNAcentral